AGAUGGAUUGGUGCCUUCGGGAACUCUGACACAGGUGCUGCAUGGCUGUCGUCAGCUCGUGUCGUGAGAUGUUGGGUUAAGUCCGUAACGAGCGCAACCCUGUCCUUAGUUACCAGCACGUUAUGGUGGGCACUCUAAGGAGACUGCCGGUGACAAACCGGAGGAAGGUGGGGGAUGACGUCAAGUCAUCAUGGCCCUUACGGCCUGGGCUACACACGUGCUACAAUGGUCGGUACAAAGGGUUGCCAAGCCGCGAGGUGGAGCUAAUCCCAUAAAACCGAUCGUAGUCCGGAUCGCAGUCUGCAACUCGACUGCGUGAAGUCGGAAUCGCUAGUAAUCGUGAAUCAGAAUGUCACGGUGAAUACGUUCCCGGGCCUU
RNAcentral lists this ribosomal RNA (378 nucleotides) under uncultured Pseudomonas sp. RNAcentral describes it as "bacterial SSU rRNA". It matches the Rfam family "Bacterial small subunit ribosomal RNA", at positions 1004 to 1382 of the family's 1533-position model. Lineage: Bacteria; Pseudomonadati; Pseudomonadota; Gammaproteobacteria; Pseudomonadales; Pseudomonadaceae. The record is from RNAcentral.